GGAGGAGUGUAGCUUUCGAUCACUCCAGUCCUUCAGCAGCAUCAGGCUGGAAUCCUGUCUCCUUGCUCCUCCGUUUCUCCUUCUCCUUCAUAUAGACUCUUUCUUGAUGCUCGAGAAAGAGUUAGCAGAAAGGUGGCUGUACUCCAAUCCCAGAGUCAGACCUAGAGGAAAGAUCGCUAGAUGACGCCACAGAGCUGUUUACCAACCACAAGCACCUCAUCGCCGAGCCCCCCGUGCCUGAAGUCUCAGCCCUCCAAGGAGUUCUGGAGUAGUGCUAAGCAGUCGGGAGGAAGAGGCCCUUUCUGAGGCUGACCCUGUGUGGACACUGUGCUCCCAUCCCGGGACUGUGCCAAGCUCACCCCUGGAGGCGACUUCGUG
Molecule: long non-coding RNA, 378 nt
Filed under: Rattus norvegicus (Norway rat)
Lineage: Eukaryota; Metazoa; Chordata; Mammalia; Rodentia; Muridae
Description: long non-coding RNA NONRATT027519
Source: RNAcentral